RNAcentral lists this ribosomal RNA (253 nucleotides) under uncultured bacterium. RNAcentral describes it as "partial 16S ribosomal RNA". It matches the Rfam family "Bacterial small subunit ribosomal RNA", at positions 524 to 776 of the family's 1533-position model. The record is from RNAcentral.
UACGUAGGGGGCAAGCGUUGUCCGGAAUCAUUGGGCGUAAAGAGCGUGUAGGCGGCUUGGUAAGUCCGCUGUGAAAGUCCAGGGCUCAACCCUGGAAUGCCGGUGGAAACUGUCAAGCUUGAGUCCGGAAGAGGCGAGUGGAAUUCCUGGUGUAGCGGUGAAAUGCGCAGAUAUCAGGAGGAACACCAAUGGCGAAGGCAGCUCGCUGGGACGGUACUGACGCUGAGAAGCGAAAGCAUGGGGAGCGAACAGG